RNAcentral lists this ribosomal RNA (660 nucleotides) under uncultured marine bacterium. RNAcentral describes it as "bacterial SSU rRNA". It matches the Rfam family "Bacterial small subunit ribosomal RNA", at positions 94 to 789 of the family's 1533-position model. The record is from RNAcentral.
AGCGGCGGACGGGUUAGUAACGCGUGGGAACGUACCCUUUUCUGCGGAAUAGCCUCUGGAAACGGAGAGUAAUACCGCAUACGCCCUUCGGGGGAAAGAUUUAUCGGAGAAGGAUCGGCCCGCGUUAGAUUAGAUAGUUGGUGGGGUAACGGCUUACCAAGUCUACGAUCUAUAGCUGGUUUUAGAGGAUGAUCAGCAACACUGGGACUGAGACACGGCCCAGACUCCUACGGGAGGCAGCAGUGGGGAAUCUUGGACAAUGGGCGCAAGCCUGAUCCAGCCAUGCCGCGUGAGUGAAGAAGGCCUUAGGGUCGUAAAGCUCCUUCGCCUGUGAUGAUAAUGACAGUAGCAGGUAAAGAAACCCCGGCUAACUCCGUGCCAGCAGCCGCGGUAAUACGGAGGGGGUUAGCGUUGUUCGGAAUUACUGGGCGUAAAGCGCGCGUAGGCGGAUUGGAAAGUUGGGGGUGAAAUCCCGAGGCUCAACCUCGGAACUGCCUCCAAAACUCCCAGUCUAGAGUUCGAGAGAGGUGAGUGGAAUUCCAAGUGUAGAGGUGAAAUUCGUAGAUAUUUGGAGGAACACCAGUGGCGAAUGCGGCUCACUGGCUCUAUACUGACGCUGAUGUGCGAAAGUGUGGGGAGCAAAUAGGAUUAGAUACCCUG